This is a non-coding RNA of Triticum aestivum (bread wheat), 134 nucleotides long. NCBI's taxonomy places the organism in Eukaryota, Viridiplantae, Streptophyta, Magnoliopsida, Poales, Poaceae. The record is from Rfam.
GUAUUACUCCCUCCGUCUCGAAAUUCUUGUCUUAGAUUCGUCUAGUUAUGGAUGUAUCUAAUGCUAAAGUGUGACUUGAUACAUCGUAUUUAGAUAAAUUUAAGACAAGAAUUUUAGGACGGACGGAGUACUAA